UUGCACCCGGCAAGUCCUACACAACCAGCUCCUGUAAAAUCCUCCAGGUCGGGAACGAAGCAAAGGUAUAUGGUCGUAGCGGUGUGAUGUAGGUAGCUUGCCUUUUU
The sequence is a non-coding RNA, 107 nucleotides long. It matches the Rfam family "Bacteroidales small SRP". Rfam says of the family: The non-coding component of the signal recognition particle in Bacteroides The record is from Rfam.